UUUGAAUCUAUAACCUCAUCCCUAUGCCAAGAAGAAGAUUAUCCAAGAAAUGAGAAUGGGAAUAAAAAUUGGCCCAAACCAUGUUAAAUGUUAGGUAAAACUCUUAAACUAGCUUCACAAAUUGUGAUCCAUUCAGUGCCAAGAAGCCAACUCUAGAAAAUGAAUAGCGUUAUUUCAACAGAUAUACUAAAAUACAGACCCCAUUAUGCAAAUCGGAUUUGCCUUUGGAACUUACUUUCUACCCUUUCUUCGAGCGGAGCCAUUAGCAAAGCCCUUUCUAUUAGAAUUAUUGUUUGGUUUGUCAACCUCAUCAUCCUCGUCUUCAUUCUUGUCCUCAUCCUCAUCCUCGCUAUACUCGCUCUGAUCACCUUCUUCGUCCUCUUCAAUGUCAUCUUCGUCUUCAUCUUCAACGUCAUUCUCAUCCUGCACUCCCCCAGCCACAUGACCACCUCGACUUCCAGCUCUGCUCCUUUUCAAUACUUUUAGUUUUAAGUUUGUCUUUGUGUCGCAGCCAAUCCAUGUGUCACACAUCAAAUGACUGUUUAGACUGUAACUUCCUGCCUGUGGAGCUUGGAUCUUGCCCAAGAUCAGUCGGCACCCUCUCUUAACUUUCGCAACAGCAUCUUUAACAGCAGCAGCAAUCUCCUCCAUAUUUGCCCCCGAUGCUUCCAUUUUCGCUUCGGUUAUUGUUGAAGCAGUUGUUAUGGCUGCUGCUUCAUCCAUAAAGUUGAUACUUUCAGAAAACCAGACAUCAUUUGAAUUGGCAUCUGCAAGUAAAAACCAGAAAUUCUCUCCCUUGGGGAAUGGAUAGUAUGGAGCAUGUGGAAGAGCAGCGAUCAAACCAUUAGCACGUCUGACUGUCACCCAUGCCUGCACAGUGACAAUGUCCCCCUCUUGGAUGCCUUCCUCACCCUCAGUCUCGCAUGUAACUUCAAUUGUUGCACGAGGCAUCAAUUCUAGCACCUUCUCUACGUCUUGCACUUCAGCAGCGGAUAGGCCAGCAACAUCAGAAAGCAGCUCAGCACGUUCUUGAAGGGUCAUGUCCAGGAGGUUCUGUAGUGUACGCACCUUCUUCCCUAUCUUUGUGAUGACUGCAUCAUUAAAAUUUGGAAGCUGUAAAAGCGAAGCAACACCAUCAGAGGAUCCUGAACCUGCCUUCCUAGCACUAAGGGGAACGGCCUGAAUAAUGCACUGGGAGAGCUCGACGAUUCCAAUUGCAGGCCUUAGCCAACCAUGUCCCUUAGCAGUGCGUGGCACAGUUGCCAUCUUGAUUAGCCCUUCGAGAAGGCGAGGUGUAAACUGCAGCACAUGUUUGUAAUCCUGCUGCAAGUUACUAGAGAAAGUGUCUGCUUUACGAAGUAAAUGGGCUUGAAUCAACAAUUCGGCCUUGACAAUAGCAGGAUGUUGUUUCCAAAAUUUUGCUUGUUCCUGUCUGGCAUUCUUACCAUCCAGGUUCAGUUCACUUUUCACAAGUUUGAAGAGUUCCUGAAGAGGUUCAUCAUCAGCUCUUCGAACUGGAAUAUCCAUGAACUCAGCUGCCUUAACGAAUACAUCCAUAACUUUGCUUGGAGCCAAGGAGGGCUUCACUAAUUCAAAAUAAGUGACAAGAGUUUCACGCCUGACAUUAUUUCCCCCAUACUUUGAUGCUCUUGAUAGAUAAACAACACCAAAAGCCAUUGGCAAUAGUAUAAAACCUCCAAGAAUCCAAAGUAAUAAUAUACCACCAGACGAGCCAUUAAAAUCAAGCAAAAACUGAGGAAGUGCUAUCCCCAUUUGAAAACCCUGUCUGCCAUCUGGAUGUCCAUAUUUCUCAAAAUUCUCCCUUGAGACCGGAUCUGUCAGGGCCUGGUAAGCUUUGGAAAUAUACUCCACAAAAUACUUAUGAGCAGCUGGGUCAGGGUUUUUGUCUGGGUGGUAUUGUAUUGAAAGUCUCCUAUAUGCUUUCUUUAUUGCAGAUUCGGUAACUCCUGGUGCUAGCCCAAGAAUACUGAACGGAUCAAAAGCUUCAAUCUCACGACUACUUUGCUUGAUGCUAUAAACAAGGAAAAUCACAAUGACCCAAAGCAACAGCAAGGUAAAGUUGCUACAUGUUGAAAACUUAGAGAUCCUUCCAAAAAUGGAUUUGCGAUAUUUUCCUGAUCGAGAGCAAACUGAACACGCACAGUGAAUACUCUUUUCCUUCUUUGAAGCAACACGGAGUAAUUUAAGUAUUGUAUAGGGUACUAAAGGCAGGGCAAUUAUUGACAAUAUAAAAAUUGGGAACAAGGCACUAUUCUCUCCAGUGUCAGCCAUGAGAACUUCUCCACAGAUAUUCCGCAGAUGCUAUAGCCUCUGUAUAAGUGAUGGAUUCUUCAACUUAGCAAAAUCAGCUAUGAAGAAUGUUGAAAUUGGAUUGAGGGACUACGACUGGUAACCCGAAACGUAAGCCCCCAAAGAUUUUAUUUUUCUCGCAGCCGUUUACUUUGUGUAGCUUGCAAUUGAA
This 2482-nucleotide unclassified non-coding RNA is filed under the name Hevea brasiliensis (rubber tree). Lineage: Eukaryota; Viridiplantae; Streptophyta; Magnoliopsida; Malpighiales; Euphorbiaceae. The record is from RNAcentral.